RNAcentral lists this ribosomal RNA (439 nucleotides) under uncultured bacterium. RNAcentral describes it as "partial 16S ribosomal RNA". It matches the Rfam family "Bacterial small subunit ribosomal RNA", at positions 339 to 795 of the family's 1533-position model. The record is from RNAcentral.
CUACGGGGUGCUGCAGUGGGGAAUAUUGCACAAUGGAGGAAACUCUGAUGCAGCAACGCCGCGUGGAGGAUGACACUUUUCGGAGCGUAAACUCCUUUUAUAUAGGAAGAUAAUGACGGUACUAUAUGAAUAAGCACCGGCUAACUCCGUGCCAGCAGCCGCGGUAAUACGGAGGGUGCAAGCGUUACUCGGAAUCACUGGGCGUAAAGAGCGUGUAGGCGGGUUAAUAAGUCAGAAGUGAAAUCCUAUGGCUCAACCAUAGAACUGCUUUUGAAACUGUUAACCUAGAGUGUGGGAGAGGUAGAUGGAAUUUCUGGUGUAGGGGUAAAAUCCGUAGAGAUCAGAAGGAAUACCGAUUGCGAAGGCGAUCUGCUGGAACAUAACUGACGCUGAGACGCGAAAGCGUGGGGAGCGAACAGGAUUAGAUACCCCUGUAGUC